GACGAACGCUGGCGGCGUGCUUAACACAUGCAAGUCGAACGGAAAGGCCCUGCAUUUGUGGGGUGCUCGAGUGGCGAACGGGUGAGUAACACGUGAGUAACCUGCCCUUGACUUUGGGAUAACUUCAGGAAACUGGGGCUAAUACCGGAUAGGAGCUCCUGCUGCAUGGUGGGGGUUGGAAAGUUUCGGCGGUUGGGGAUGGACUCGCGGCUUAUCAGCUUGUUGGUGGGGUAGUGGCUUACCAAGGCUUUGACGGGUAGCCGGCCUGAGAGGGUGACCGGCCACAUUGGGACUGAGAUACGGCCCAGACUCCUACGGGAGGCAGCAGUGGGGAAUAUUGCACAAUGGGCGGAAGCCUGAUGCAGCAACGCCGCGUGCGGGAUGACGGCCUUCGGGUUGUAAACCGCUUUCGCCUAUGACGAAGCGUGAGUGACGGUAAUGGGUAAAGAAGCACCGGCUAACUACGUG
RNAcentral lists this ribosomal RNA (468 nucleotides) under uncultured bacterium. RNAcentral describes it as "partial 16S ribosomal RNA". It matches the Rfam family "Bacterial small subunit ribosomal RNA", at positions 28 to 507 of the family's 1533-position model. The record is from RNAcentral.